GUUUGAUCAUGGCUCAGGACGAACGCUGGCGGCGUGCUUAACACAUGCAAGUCGAACGAGAAGAGAUGAGAAGCUUGCUUCUUAUCUCUUCGAGUGGCAAACGGGUGAGUAACGCGUAAGCAACCUGCCCUUCAGAUGGGGACAACAGCUGGAAACGGCUGCUAAUACCGAAUACGUUCUUUUUGUCGCAUGGCAGAGGGAAGAAAGGGAGGCUCUUCGGAGCUUUCGCUGAAGGAGGGGCUUGCGUCUGAUUAGCUAGUUGGUGGGGUAACGGCUCACCAAGGCGACGAUCAGUAGCCGGUCUGAGAGGAUGAACGGCCACAUUGGGACUGAGACACGGCCCAAACUCCUACGGGAGGCAGCAGUGGGGAAUCUUCCGCAAUGGGCGCAAGCCUGACGGAGCAACGCCGCGUGAGUGAAGAAGGUUUUCGGAUCGUAAAGCUCUGUUGAGAGGGACGAGAGAUAUAAUCAGGAAAUGGGUUAUAGAGGACGGUACCUUUCGAGGAAGCCACGGCUAACUACGUGCCAGCAGCCGCGGUAAUACGUAGGUGGCGAGCGUUGUCCGGAAUUAUUGGGCGUAAAGGGAGCGCAGGUGGGAAAGUAAGUCAGUCUUAAAAGUUCGGGGCUCAACCCCGUGAUGGGAUUGAAACUACUUUUCUUGAGUGCAGGAGAGGAAAGCGGAAUUCCUAGUGUAGCGGUGAAAUGCGUAGAUAUUAGGAGGAAUACCGGUGGCGAAGGCGGCCCCCUGGACGAAGACUGACGCUCAGGUGCGAAAGCGUGGGGAGCAAACAGGAUUAGAUACCCUGGUAGUCCACGCCGUAAACGAUGUCGACUUGGAGGUUGUGCCCUUGAGGCGUGGCUUCCGGAGCUAACGCGUUAAGUCGACCGCCUGGGGAGUACGGCCGCAAGGUUAAAACUCAAAUGAAUUGACGGGGGCCCGCACAAGCAGUGGAGUAUGUGGUUUAAUUCGACGCAACGCGAAGAACCUUACCAAGUCUUGACAUCCUGCGACGUGCAUAGAAAUAUGUGUUUCCUUCGGGACGCAGAGACAGGUGGUGCAUGGUUGUCGUCAGCUUGUGUCGUGAGAUGUUGGGUUAAGUCCCGCAACGAGCGCAACCCUUACUGUCAGUUACUACGCAAGAGGACUCUGGCAGGACUGCCGUUGACAAAACGGAGGAAGGUGGGGAUGACGUCAAAUCAUCAUGCCCUUUAUGACUUGGGCUACACACGUACUACAAUGGCGUUAAACAAAGAGAAGCAAGACCGCGAGGUGGAGCAAAACUCAGAAACAACGUCCCAGUUCGGACUGCAGGCUGCAACUCGCCUGCACGAAGUCGGAAUUGCUAGUAAUCGUGGAUCAGCAUGCCACGGUGAAUACGUUCCCGGGCCUUGUACUCACCGCCGU
Molecule: ribosomal RNA, 1405 nt
Filed under: uncultured bacterium
Lineage: Bacteria
Description: partial 16S ribosomal RNA
Rfam family: Bacterial small subunit ribosomal RNA
Source: RNAcentral